GCUUACGGCCACGACGCCUGCUUAAUGCCCGAUCUCGUUUGAUCUCGGAAGCUAAGAUAGGUUGGGCCUGGUUAGUACUUGGAUGGGAGACAGCCUGGGAAUACCAGGUGCUGUAAGCU
RNAcentral lists this ribosomal RNA (119 nucleotides) under Scophthalmus maximus (turbot). Lineage: Eukaryota; Metazoa; Chordata; Actinopteri; Pleuronectiformes; Scophthalmidae. The record is from RNAcentral.